CAGCUUUUUCCGUCAGUUCCACGGUUUGUGGACUUAGCGCCCUCUUGCGUUCUUUCUGCAACACUAAAUUCACAGUUUAAGCCUGUACAACAAUUUCAUGCUGUUACUGUCUUUGCCUGUACUGUCGCAACCCAGUCUCUCAUUAAUAUGUACUAUAUGUACAAAUAAGCACAAUGGUAAGUAUCUCAUUAACUAUGUACUAUAUGUACAAAUAAGCACUAUGUUUUUAUGUACUAAUAGCACAAACUCAUGAUGCAUUGCGAUCACAACCAUAACAUCAGAUGCCACGCCACUUCUUAAUAUCUUUAAACUUGAUGCGCCCUGAGUUUACGUUGGAUGUAGCUAGCUAUUUUAUGGUGAGAACGCGAGGUAAGUCAUUUUUAGGAAAUGAGAAAUAAUCGAGAAUUUUCUGUAUUUCAGCCCGCAUAACUCUAAACUCUUAUUUUAUUUCAGUCAGUUAUGUAUAUUGGUUUAUCUUGUAGACAAGACAUGAUAUUUAUUUGAUCUGGACAACAGUAUCUUGUAUUUGAUUUCAUUUUACGUUUAACUAGGCAAGUCAAUUAAGAACAAAUUCUAAUUUACAAUGACUGCCUACCAAAAGGCCUCCUGCGGGAUGGGGAUAAAAAAUAAAAAACGUUUUUUUUUUUUUGUGAGGGGGGGGCUUGCCUGUUUUGCAUGUUAUUUUUCCAUUAAUAUGUGUCACAUCAGUUUGCAAACAAUGAAAAAAAAAUACAUAUCAUUGAGUUAAUAAAGCCAAACAUGGUCUCCUUUUUGUUUUCUUGAGUAAGGCAGCUCCAAAAUGCAGGUGUUUCAACCUAGCUCUUUCUGUGGUGGUGGGGCAAGCCAGCAGAAAAUACGGAGCAUUGUGCAGUGAUUGGCUCAGUGUUCUGUCACUCAUGGGGACACUACGUCACUGCCAAGUCUAAGGGUGGAGCUUUAAAAUUCUAGCCCCUUGGGUGUUGCCAUAGAGUUACAUUAGAAGUGCCCAUCAAAGAAGGCUUAAGGUCAUUGGCCAUAGAUAAAAUGGAGUCAAAUCAUGUUAUGUCUACAGUAGCUUUGAUUGGACUGAUCAUGUCAACCAACAUCAUACUUUCAAAAUCUUAGCUAGCAGUCAUCAUCAUGAAUCAAGUCGAUAAUCUACUGGCAAAUAUGUUUUAAUCCUUGUCAUAUGAAGAGAAAUAAUAAAGAGAAAUUAUAGAUAAAACGUAUCGGUGCACAUCGGCCAUUAGGCAAACAUUACACAACAAGUUGGAAAUCGCAAAUUCAACAAUGAGUGGUUUGGAAGGAAUCAGUGGCUAACUGCAAGCAUUGCAAGUCAAUCAUUAGCAUGCUAUUAAGUGGAGUGGCUGUGUGGUCCCAAGUCUAAGAUUAAGGGUCUCUUUUCCUAGUUCAGAAUUAUAAACAUUCAACAUUGGCCAUGCGGUCAAUGAAGCAUGAUUUGUGCCGUGCUCAAAACAACUAUUAACUCGUAACUGCAAAAUCUGACUUUAGUGAGUUCAAGACAUCUGAGAACUCUGGGGAAAACGUGCUACGACUGGGAAAACACGUUUUGAACUUUUAUCUAACUCGGAAUUGUAAAUCGAGAACUCUGGCCUCUUUCUAGAGCUACGCCCUGAAGAUCACUGACGUCAUCAUGAUUUAACCUUAUUUUUUCUCUCCAGUUCCCAGUUGUCUUGAAAGCACCAUAAAUCCAGAGAAUGACAAACUUCGAUGACACAGUUUGAUGACAACAUUUUCCCAUGAUGGACCGCCACGCCACCUUCCUGUUCAAGUGAGCACAGCACAACAAGAUGGUUCCAGUCGCUAGCUGCAGCGAACUGAAAAGAAGAGCGACCCAGGGAUGUGCGCGCGCAAAGGAGGAUGUGGAGGAUGUAUGCUUUUUGGUUCCCGCCAUGAGCCAGUGAACAUUGGGCCUUUUUAGCUAGCUGCUCGCUGUUAUUAUGUAAAAACACAAUAUCAGUCGUGGAAGCACAUGAAAAUGUUUUUUUUUCUGUGAAUUAUUGAGCUAUUCAUUUCAUGACUUCAUUUCAUGAGUGACGGACUGUGAAACUUAAUCUCCCAUGAUUCCGUAGUACCGGAAUUGACACAAACAGACAAUCAUAACAUGCUAGGGGGUACAACAAAUGACAGAUUAUACAAAGGCCUUGUUUUAACAUGUUUCUUAUUGGAAGAAUGUAGUAUGGUCUUAAUGUACUGCUCAAACUCCUUAUAGAAAACAUGGAGAGUGUUUUUUUUUGUUAGUGAAUUUACAUUUAUGAAUAUUACAUUUUUUAUUAGCAUAAUUAGAUUUAAGAGGUCAAAUGUUUUCCUUGUCCUUAUCAUAGUUAAGGAAACCAAGCAGCACAUUCUCACAUAAUAAACAAAAGUCAUCUAGAAUAUUAACAAUUAUAAAACUAAAAAUAUCUUGCCACAAUUUCUUUCCAUGUAGACAAUGCCAAAAUAAAUGUAAAACUGUUUCUGUUUGCUCAACGCAAAAACUACAGUUAAUGUUAUUGUAUUUUUUGAGUUUCUUCAGAUAAUGAUUUGCAGGGUACGGUAACUGACCGUGUUGUGUUUGUUCUUAGUAUACCUCAGUGGUUCUGUUGAUACCUCACGCAACUUAAAAUAAGCAAUUACUCUGCAUAUAAUACAUAACAUAUAAUAAACAGAAGAAACUAUUUAGCAUUUUAAUUAGAUCUUCGAUGGUGUAGUUAGUUAAUUUAUUGCCUGUAUGUGAUCCAUAGAAAUAUGAAUCAUAUUUCUAUGGGACACGUACAGGCCAUAAAUAAACUAGCUACGCUGGUGUCUGCACAUGUUAAACUGUAAUUCUCUUUUUGCUGUUUGUAUACCAAUUGUGUACAUGUGAAUAUUCAAGUACACUUCAUAAAUAGUAAUAUCAGCAUUACUCACCUGUGAUUAAUGAAUUAAAGCAGCUCAAAAACGUUUGAGUGUUAACUGUG
Molecule: long non-coding RNA, 2939 nt
Organism: Salvelinus fontinalis (brook trout)
Lineage: Eukaryota; Metazoa; Chordata; Actinopteri; Salmoniformes; Salmonidae
Exons: 2
Source: RefSeq, a predicted model, not a curated record